GAUGAACGCUGGCGGCGUGCCUAAUACAUGCAAGUCGAGCGAACAGACGAGGAGCUUGCUCCUCUGACGUUAGCGGCGGACGGGUGAGUAACACGUGGAUAACCUACCUCUAAGACUGGGAUAACUUCGGGAAACCGGAGCUAAUACCGGAUAAUAUAUUGAACCGCAUGGUUCAAUAGUGAAAGACGGUUUUGCUGUCACUUAUAGAUGGAUCCGCGCCGGAUUAGCUAGUUGGUAAGGUAACGGCUUACCAAGGCAACGAUGCGUAGCCGACCUGAGAGGGUGAUCGGCCACACUGGAACUGAGACACGGUCCAGACUCCUACGGGAGGCAGCAGUAGGGAAUCUUCCGCAAUGGGCGAAAGCCUGACGGAGCAACGCCGCGUGAGUGAUGAAGGUCUUCGGAUCGUAAAACUCUGUUAUUAGGGAAGAACAAAUGUGUAAGUAACUAUGCACGUCUUGACGGUACCUAAUCAGAAAGCCACGGCUAACUACGUG
Molecule: ribosomal RNA, 497 nt
Filed under: uncultured bacterium
Lineage: Bacteria
Description: partial 16S ribosomal RNA
Rfam family: Bacterial small subunit ribosomal RNA
Source: RNAcentral